This 496-nucleotide ribosomal RNA is filed under the name uncultured bacterium. Its description in RNAcentral is "partial 16S ribosomal RNA". It matches the Rfam family "Bacterial small subunit ribosomal RNA", at positions 28 to 506 of the family's 1533-position model. The record is from RNAcentral.
GAUGAACGCUGGCGGCGUGCCUAAUACAUGCAAGUCGAGCGAACAGACGAGGAGCUUGCUCCUCUGACGUUAGCGGCGGACGGGUGAGUAACACGUGGAUAACCUACCUAUAAGACUGGGAUAACUUCGGGAAACCGGAGCUAAUACCGGAUAAUAUAUUGAACCGCAUGGUUCAAUAGUGAAAGACGGUUUUGCUGUCACUUAUAGAUGGAUCCGCGCCGCAUUAGCUAGUUGGUAAGGUAACGGCUUACCAAGGCAACGAUGCGUAGCCGACCUGAGAGGGUGAUCGGCCACACUGGAACUGAGACACGGUCCAGACUCCUACGGGAGGCAGCAGUAGGGAAUCUACAGAAAUGGGCGAAAGCCUGACGGAGCAACGCCGCGUGAGUGAUGAAGGUCUUCGGAUCGUAAAACUCUGUUAUUAGGGAAGAACAAAUGUGUAAGUAACUAUGCACGUCUUGACGGUACCUAAUCAGAAAGCCACGGCUAACUACGU